This is a long non-coding RNA of Amphiprion ocellaris (clown anemonefish), 652 nucleotides long. RefSeq lists it as uncharacterized. The record is from RefSeq and is a predicted model, not a curated record. Lineage: Eukaryota; Metazoa; Chordata; Actinopteri; Pomacentridae. The transcript is spliced from 2 exons.
CAUAGACAUCAAUGUUAUUUCUGCAGCUUGAAAGACAGCGACUUUUGAUAAAACUGGCCUUGUAGCACAUUGUCUAGCUUACAACGAUUUGAAAGACGCAUUGUUUAUGUUUUUACAACGUAUAUCCCAUGAGUUAUUGAGGCCGGAAGUCCGAAUCUGUGAAUAUCUUGCCAACUUUACCUAACUGUCAUAGUACGGCGAGCCGAAAGUCCCUUAACGUCAUUUGCGUGCGACACAAACGCAACAUAACGGAGGCGAUGGUACACCUGUUGCUCGGUCUGUGGCUUUCUGUCAGAUUCAAAGUAAUAGAAGAGUCGGAGAAAGCUGAGAGCAGCGAGUCGAAACACUCAGGAGACACACAGGAGAGUUUGGGAGGCGAUGCAGCAGUAUCAAGCUGAAGACAAGAGGAUAUGAACUAGACGACAUAUGAGGAUGCUCUCUGAUGAGACUUCAUGGGAUUUACCUGAAGCAGCAGCACAUGAGCCUGCAGUGGCACAAGGUGUAGAGGAGGAGGACAGAGAUGUACAGGAUGCACUGAUGCACUACGUGUCAUGCAAAGUUAUUCUUCUCGUUAUACUUCUGUUUUUCUGUCCCCGGACUACUAUUGUUUUCUUUAAUGCAAUUCUGACAAUAAACUUUUGUACCUUUUGCA